AUUGAACGCUGGCGGCAUGCCUUACACAUGCAAGUCGAACGGUAACAGGUCUUCGGAUGCUGACGAGUGGCGAACGGGUGAGUAAUACAUCGGAACGUGCCUAGUAGUGGGGGAUAACUACUCGAAAGAGUGGCUAAUACCGCAUGAGAUCUACGGAUGAAAGCAGGGGAUUGCAAGACCUUGUGCUACUAGAGCGGCCGAUGGCAGAUUAGGUAGUUGGUGGGAUAAAAGCUUACCAAGCCGACGAUCUGUAGCUGGUCUGAGAGGACGAACAGCCACACUGUGACUGAGACACGGCCCAGACUCCUACGGGAGGCAGCAGUGGGGAAUUUUGGACAAUGGGCGAAAGCCUGAUCCAGCAAUGCCGCGUGCAGGAUGAAGGCCUUCGGGUUGUAAACUGCUUUUGUACGGAACGAAAAGCCCUGGGUUAAUACCCUGGGGUCAUGACGGUACCGUAAGAAUAAGCACCGGCUAACUACGUGCCAGCCGCCGCGGUAA
Molecule: ribosomal RNA, 498 nt
Filed under: uncultured bacterium
Lineage: Bacteria
Description: partial 16S ribosomal RNA
Rfam family: Bacterial small subunit ribosomal RNA
Source: RNAcentral